AUAAGACUUUGGUUUCAAGUUCCUUGAAGUUCUUUUUGUUUUUACCAAAGCGCCAUGGUGCUCAGGUUGCAGAAUAUUCUGUGGCUAUACCCCUUUUCUGAAUAUGAUGGUUUGAUUGUGAAAUAGGUUCCGUCCUCGCAUACUCAUUGAUGUGAGCAAGAUAGACAUGACCAGAAUUGUGACUGGGAGCAUUACUCCAAGUUAACCUCUGAGAUUGGAGACAAGGUACAGAUAAGGGGGGAUGACCACUUGGUCACCAACCCAAAGGAGUUCAUGAUCCUUCCCAUAGGAGCCUCCUCUUUCAAGGAGGCAAUGAAGAUGGGUGUGGAAGUAUAUCUUCAUUUGAAGACAGAAAACUAUUAGAGAGGACAUAAUGUUGAGUCGCUGUUGAGAUGCUGUUUUAGGCCUUUUCUUGAUUAGAAAUCAUGGAAGAUUUUCAUUUACAAGUUGCAAGUAUCUUUAUUUGGGAACAUGUGACUCUACUUUGGAUGAUUGGAAAUCACACUGAUUAAAUA
Long non-coding RNA from Magnolia sinica, 515 nucleotides. RefSeq lists it as uncharacterized. The transcript is spliced from 2 exons. The record is from RefSeq and is a predicted model, not a curated record. NCBI's taxonomy places the organism in Eukaryota, Viridiplantae, Streptophyta, Magnoliopsida, Magnoliales, Magnoliaceae.